AACGAACGCUGGCGGCAUGCCUAACACAUGCAAGUCGAACGAGACCUUCGGGUCUAGUGGCGCACGGGUGCGUAACGCGUGGUAACCUGCCCUUAGGUUCGGAAUAACUCCCCGAAAGGGGUGCUAAUACCGGAUAAUGUCUUCGGACCAAAGAUUUAUCGCCUUUGGAUGGGCCCGCGUUGGAUUAGCUAGUUGGUAGGGUAAAAGCCUACCAAGGCGACGAUCCAUAGCUGGUCUGAGAGGAUGACCAGCCACACUGGGACUGAGACACGGCCCAGACUCCUACGGGAGGCAGCAGUGGGGAAUAUUGGACAAUGGGCGAAAGCCUGAUCCAGCAAUGCCGCGUGAGUGAUGAAGGCCUUAGGGUUGUAAAGCUCUUUUACCCGGGAUGAUAAUGACAGUACCGGGAGAAUAAGCUCCGGCUAACUCCGUG
Molecule: ribosomal RNA, 433 nt
Filed under: uncultured bacterium
Lineage: Bacteria
Description: partial 16S ribosomal RNA
Rfam family: Bacterial small subunit ribosomal RNA
Source: RNAcentral